RNAcentral lists this ribosomal RNA (657 nucleotides) under uncultured soil bacterium. RNAcentral describes it as "bacterial SSU rRNA". It matches the Rfam family "Bacterial small subunit ribosomal RNA", at positions 35 to 676 of the family's 1533-position model. The record is from RNAcentral.
UCUGGCGGCGUCUUACACUGCAUGUCGAACGAGACAUGGAGCUUCGGCUCUGAGUAAGUGGCGAACGGGUCGACACGUAAGCAAUCUGCCCCGGACUCUGGGAUAACUUCUCGAAAGGGAAGCUAAGACUGGAUAGUGUCCUCGAGGCAUAAGCUGCGAGGGGAAAAUAGGCCUCUUAUAUAUGCCUGUGGUCCGGGAUGAGCUUGCGGCCCAUUAGCUAGUUUGUAAGGUAACGGCUUACCAAGGCAACGAUGGGUAGCUGGUCUGAGAGGAUGAUCAGCCACACUGGCACUGAGAUACGGGCCAGACUCCUACGGGAGGCAGCAGUGGGGAAUUUUGCGCAAUGGGCGAAAGCCUGACGCAGUAACGCCGCGUGGAGGACGAAGGCCUUCGGGUUGUAAACUCCUGUCAGGGGGAACGACAGAGACAGAACGAAUAGUUCUGUCCUCUAGACGGUACCUCCAAAGGAAGCCCCGGCUAAUUCCGUGCCAGCAGCCGCGGUAAUACGGAAGGGGCAAGCGUUGUUCGGAAUCAUUGGGCGUAAAGGGCGCGUAGGCGGUCUUGUAUGUCUGCUGUGAAAGCAUGCGGCUCAACCGCAUAGGGUCGGUAGACACUGCAAGACUCGAGGCUGGGAGGGGCUGGUGGAAUUCCCUGUGU